Molecule: ribosomal RNA, 199 nt
Filed under: uncultured bacterium
Lineage: Bacteria
Description: partial 16S ribosomal RNA
Rfam family: Bacterial small subunit ribosomal RNA
Source: RNAcentral
ACGCUCGACACCUACGGGAGGCAGCAGGUGGGGAAUAUUGCACAAUGGGGGAAACCCUGAUGCAGCGACGCCGCGUGAGCGAAGAAGUAUCUCGGUAUGUAAAGCUCUAUCAGCAGGGAAGAAGAUGACGGUACCUGACUAAGAAGCACCGGCUAAAUACGUACCAGCAGCCGCGGUAAUCUGAGCGGGCUGGCAAGGC